UACGAAGGGGGCUAGCGUUGCUUGGAAUUACUGGGCGUAAAGGGAGCGUAGGCGGGUCGUCAAGUUGGGGGUGAAAGCCCAGGGCUCAACCUUGGAAUUGCCUUCAAAACUGACGAUCUAGAGUAUGGAAGAGGUAAGUGGAACUCCGAGUGUAGAGGUGAAAUUCGUAGAUAUUCGGAAGAACACCAGUGGCGAAGGCGACUUACUGGUCCAUGACUGACGCUGAGGCUCGAAAGCGUGGGGAGCAAACAGG
RNAcentral lists this ribosomal RNA (253 nucleotides) under uncultured bacterium. RNAcentral's name for it is "partial 16S ribosomal RNA". It matches the Rfam family "Bacterial small subunit ribosomal RNA", at positions 524 to 776 of the family's 1533-position model. The record is from RNAcentral.